ACGAUCCCUAGCUGGUCUGAGAGGAUGAUCAGCCACACUGGAACUGAGACACGGUCCAGACUCCUACGGGAGGCAGCAGUGGGGAAUAUUGCACAAUGGGCGCAAGCCUGAUGCAGCCAUGCCGCGUGUGUGAAGAAGGCCUUCGGGUUGUAAAGCACUUUCAGUCGUGAGGAAGGUAGUGUAGUUAAUAGCUGCAUUAUUUGACGUUAGCGACAGAAGAAGCACCGGCUAACUCCGUGCCAGCAGCCGCGGUAAUACGGAGGGUGCGAGCGUUAAUCGGAAUUACUGGGCGUAAAGCGCAUGCAGGUGGUUUGUUAAGUCAGAUGUGAAAGCCCGGGGCUCAACCUCGGAAUUGCAUUUGAAACUGGCAGACUAGAGUACUGUAGAGGGGGGUAGAAUUUCAGGUGUAGCGGUGAAAUGCGUAGAGAUCUGAAGGAAUACCGGUGGCGAAGGCGGCCCCCUGGACAGAUACUGACACUCAGAUGCGAAAGCGUGGGGAGCAAACAGGAUUAGAUACCCUGGUAGUCCACGCCGUAAACGAUGUCUACUUGGAGGUUGUGGCCUUGAGCCGUGGCUUUCGGAGCUAACGCGUUAAGUAGACCGCCUGGGGAGUACGGUCGCAAGAUUAAAACUCAAAUGAAUUGACGGGGGCCCGCACAAGCGGUGGAGCAUGUGGUUUAAUUCGAUGCAACGCGAAGAACCUUACCUACUCUUGACAUCCAGAGAACUUUCCAGAGAUGGAUUGGUGCCUUCGGGAACUCUGAGACAGGUGCUGCAUGGCUGUCGUCAGCUCGUGUUGUGAAAUGUUGGGUUAAGUCCCGCAACGAGCGCAACCCUUAUCCUUGUUUGCCAGCGAGUAAUGUCGGGAACUCCAGGGAGACUGCCGGUGAUAAACCGGAGGAAGGUGGGGACGACGUCAAGUCAUCAUGGCCCUUACGAGUAGGGCUACACACGUGCUACAAUGGCGCAUACAGAGGGCAGCCAACUUGCGAAAGUGAGCGAAUCCCAAAAAGUGCGUCGUAGUCCGGAUUGGAGUCUGCAACUCGACUCCAUGAAGUCGGAAUCGCUAGUAAUCGUGGAUCAGAAUGCCACGGUGAAUACGUUCCCGGGCCUUGUACACACCGCCCGUCACACCAUGGGAGUGGGCUGCAAAAGAAGUAGGUAGUUUAACCUUCGGGGGGACGCUUACCACUUUGUGGUUCAUGACUGGGGUGAAGUCGUAACAAGGUAGCGCUAGGGGAACCUGGCGCUGGAUCACCUCCUUAAACGAUGAU
Molecule: ribosomal RNA, 1274 nt
Filed under: Vibrio parahaemolyticus
Lineage: Bacteria; Pseudomonadati; Pseudomonadota; Gammaproteobacteria; Vibrionales; Vibrionaceae
Description: bacterial SSU rRNA
Rfam family: Bacterial small subunit ribosomal RNA
Source: RNAcentral